GACGUGUGCGGUCCACUGCGCAUGACACAGCGAGAAGUCCAUUGAACCUUAUCAUUUAGAGGAAGGAGAAGUCGUAACAAGGUUUCCGUAGGUGAACCUGCGGAAGGAUCAUUGUCGAGACACUUGGAUGAUCAGGCGACCUUGCAAAACCAUGAGGGCCUGCGUCAGAUGUUGUUCCUGCAGCAUUUGUACGAUUUUGGCCAUCCCAAGGAUUAAACAAGCAAGUUGGGUGCCGUAGGCACCAAGGGAUACGUAACAUCAUUGGUAGACUUGCUGCAGGUUGGCAAGCCUCUGAUAUGAUGGCUACUUAUAGCAUACGCUUUGAACUUUACAACUCUCGGCAACGGAUAUCUUGGCUCUCGCACCGAUGAAGAACGCAGCGAAAUGUGAUAUGUGGUGUGAAUUGCAGAAUCCCGUGAACCAUUGAGUAUUUGAACGCAAGUUGCGCUCGAGGCAGUCAGCCGAGGGCGUGCCUGCCUGGGCGUCUUUCGAUCUUUCGUUCCUCCCUGUAGAAGGCAUGUUGGCAUUGCGUGCGUGCUGCCUCCAGUGUGGAUGCGAUGGUGGCCCCUCAUGCAGACCGCAUGGUGGGUUAAAGAGCGGGUUUUGGUCGGCAAGUUCUUGGCAAUUUGUGGGUGGUGCAUUGGCCAAGCAUGGUCGAUGUUCGUGUCUAUUUGCCAGGGCAGCCGGCCGACUUAUGGUCCUGUUAAACCCAUAUGUUGCAUGGCCUUCCUCGAAUUGGCUAUGGGACGCGACCUCAGGUCAGGUGCGGCCACCCGCUGAGUUAAGCAUAUUA
Molecule: ribosomal RNA, 793 nt
Filed under: Isotria verticillata
Lineage: Eukaryota; Viridiplantae; Streptophyta; Magnoliopsida; Asparagales; Orchidaceae
Description: eukaryotic LSU rRNA
Rfam family: 5.8S ribosomal RNA (bases 333-487)
Source: RNAcentral